UAGGGUGUAGUACAUAGGUAGUACGUAGAAUUUUGAAUUCUGAAAUGUAGGUUCAAUUCCUAUCGCUCUAG
Molecule: non-coding RNA, 71 nt
Organism: Cricetulus griseus (Chinese hamster)
Lineage: Eukaryota; Metazoa; Chordata; Mammalia; Rodentia; Cricetidae
Source: Ensembl